Molecule: long non-coding RNA, 1703 nt
Organism: Tyto alba (common barn owl)
Lineage: Eukaryota; Metazoa; Chordata; Aves; Strigiformes; Tytonidae
Exons: 2
Source: RefSeq, a predicted model, not a curated record
AAAGCUAUUUCUUUGCCUUCAUUUUUCUCCCUGUUUUAAUCUCCUAAACUGAACAGAAGUUGGUGUGGCUUCUCCAUCUCAGUCACUUAUCCAGAAAACUGGAAAUCUCACCAACUGCCACUGUUGAUAACUUCAUUUAAAGAGGAGUCAUAAAGUGUGUGGAGUAGCAAUACUAUUGUAUUAAAUAUAAAAAUACGGAAAGUAUAAAAAUAUGGAAAAUAAUCCAAAUGGAGUGUCAGGAAAUUUUCAAAUGCCUAAUCAGGGCUCUGAAAUUGUGCUUUACAGAAGAAAGCAAAUGUAGAAAAAAGAAAGAACUGAAGGUCAGCCACCAGAUUUUUCCAAACAUACUGGGUAUAUUAUGGUGGCUGUAGACUGGUCUGAGAAGCAAACUGUGACUCUGAAAGGGCAGAGAAUGGAUCCUACAGCAGCUUUAGAUUUAGCAAAACAAAUAGCCCUCUGUGCUGGCACAGCCGCACUGCCAGGCUUGCUGGCAGGCAGGGAGAGGAGCCUGCCCACGCCCUGACUCCCCAGAUGCUGCUCUGCUUCACACUCUGUAAUACAAAUAGUUGGCACAGGAGUUUCACAGCACUGUUCCUCCACGUGCAGAUGUAAGGGAACAGCUGCGGCGGGUGGCAACCAGCACCCCAUAAGCAGAACCCCUGACGGUGUCACCCUGCUCCGAGUGCCUUCUUACGCCUCGGGAGAGCCACAGCACUGACACCUGUCAGCUUGUAUUUCACGUUGAAUGUAAGAGGAAGCAAGAGGCUCAAAGAGGGAAUGCUCAUGGCAAGAAAUGGGUUGAGCGGGGAAGCAGCCUGUGUGCAGAGCCACCGGCGAGGCUGUGAGGAUCCACACUGAUGCCUCCUGGGACGGGCAGUGAGGAAGGAGCUGCCCCACCACCAUAUCCCAAAAGGCAGACAGCAGUGAUUGAAGCUAUGGACACUUCAAUACGCAUGUGAGGUAAGAAGUGGGUCAUGAGCUGCAAGGCUGGAGCUGCUGAAGAAAUGGGAUCUGCUGAAGAAACGGGAUCUACUGAAGAGAUGGGAUCUACUCAAUAACUGGCAGCAGUGGGAUCUACUCAACAACUAGCAGCAGAAGAGGUUUUGAAGAGAUACUGAGACAGUCUUUUACAAUAUGUCUAUAUUGUUUGAGAAACUGAGAAGCUACAUAUGCUGCCUGCUAGAACUCUGCCUGAUUGCCAACUAAAUCUACAGAUAAUUUGUUGUAGAAGUAUCUACCAUCUGUAGUCUGAGGUAGGCAAGAUCAGCACUACACACUUGAUCUAAGGAAACAUUAACCAGAUGGCCCCCCCACCCUCAGGAAAUGUUGCACCUGGGACUUGAGACAUGUCCUUUGUUUGAGAAGAUUGUUUGUUGGGACAUGCCCUUUGUUUGUGAAGACAUGCCAUUUAUCUGAUAACAUGGGAGUUGCUAGGGGAGGGCUGGCCAAAGUUGUAGUUAGGGAUCUAACGGGGUGGGGGGGGUGCGCUUGGUGUGGAGGAUAUGUUAAGGAUUUCUCAGAACUACUUGUAAUAUUCCCUCACUAUCCUUGGAGUAGUGAUGCAUAUGUAUUAGAAUCAGUGAAUAUGUAACGUUUUUAAGCAAUAAAAAGGUGCUGUAUUCCACUCCAAGCAGCGCACGUCUGUGGUGGAGUCAUCCCCCGUGUGCCCAGCGCUGAAUAAACAUACCUACUUUAUAACCUUA